Molecule: long non-coding RNA, 133 nt
Organism: Limulus polyphemus (Atlantic horseshoe crab)
Lineage: Eukaryota; Metazoa; Arthropoda; Merostomata; Xiphosura; Limulidae
Exons: 2
Source: RefSeq, a predicted model, not a curated record
AAUGGAGAACACACAGACCCUACUUUAACUGAAGUACGAGAAUACGCCAUGUCUUACGUCAAAGAUAUACUGGUGCAGAGUGUUGUAAUGGCGGAGAAGCGGAUUGCAGCGACAGACGAUUCCGGCAAGUGUG